CUCCCUCUAUCUGACAGGCCUGGGGUAGUUACUGCUGCUAAGGUUUCCACUGCAGACGCAAGAGAAAAAGAGUCCUUGUGCUUUCUGUCUGAUUGUGACAGGCCAGAUUGAAUGAGGGAAGACAGGG
Vicugna pacos (alpaca) is the source of this 127-nucleotide small nucleolar RNA. Lineage: Eukaryota; Metazoa; Chordata; Mammalia; Artiodactyla; Camelidae. The record is from Ensembl.